CUACCCAAACAAAAAAAUACAUCAACAAAUUAUAUCAAAAUUGUGAAUAAAUCUGGAAUAAAUCAUGUUUUCCUGAUUUGUUAAUACAAUUUGUUCAUGAUUCAUUAAAUGAAUCAUAAAUAAAUUGUGCUUUUACUGGAAAGAAAAUACCCCAUUUAUUAUAGAUUCAUUACAAAAGACAGAUUUAUUAACCAUUGAUUACAAACAUAAGAUAUAUUCAAUACAAUUUAUUGCAAAUUCAUUACACUUGAACUGGAAUGUAUACAAUUUAUUCAUGAUUUAUUGGAAAUAGAACUUUUCCCGACUGCAUUUAAUACCAUUUAUUACAAAUUUAUUACACUUUAAAGUUCUGAGAUAUUCACAAGUUGUUCAUGAUUCAUUAAAAUCAGAGAUUUUCCAGGAUUUAUUCAAUACAAUUCAUAACAUAUUCAUUGUACUUCAGAUGUUCAUAAUUUGCUUAAUUAUAACAGAAAUUCAUUGAUGUAUGUCCUUUUGUUUUACUGUUCAUAACAACUAAACCCCUCUCAACUAUACAAAUAUUUUUUUUAAAUUUCCCUUUACUCAUUACCGUACUUGUUUUUAAUCAGUCACUGGAAAAUAUAUAUGGGUUUUUCAAGUCCCUUAGUUUAAGCAUCACCAUAUUAUUAAUUCCAUGCUCAGUGCAAAACGUAAAAAAAAGAGUCAAUUAUACAAUCUCGUUUUACUGUUAAAUAUGUCUAACUAAUUUGCAUGUAGAUUUUAUUUUUGUGUGAUCAAGAUCAGUUUUUGUCUUUCUUAUUGUUAAUACGCAAUCUGAUCCAUACCCACGGCUUUUUAUGAUUAGAUCUAUCCUUAUAAGUAAAAAAAAAACUGUCGAAUAGAUUAACGUAUAUGCGUAAAAAUGUAAAAUGUCGUAAAAAAGCGACUUAAUUCUCUCGGACUUAACAUCUGUUGUUAGUUUAUUGUUUUGAACAGCAUGGCUCCCAGCCGCGCGAUUAAACGAUAAGAUCUUGCAGGGAACUGCAGCCUACUGUCAGCGCCCCCUAUCAGCCGACAACAGAACAAGAUUAAUAGGAAACGAAAUUUUUUUGCCAUUUCAGAAAAAAGAUAUCUUACCAUACAGUUUUCUUUCUUUUGGAUAUAACUAAUGUCAGAAACAAACUAACUUACAACAGAUUUUGUCAUUGCAGCUGCAAAAUUAGGAACUUUAUACAAUACUAUAGUAGCUAGGAAUAACAUUUCGUUUGCAUUAAUUCUAUGCAUAGAAAAAGGCGGUUAUUUUGGAAGAUAAAAAAUUGUGGUGUUACACAAAAAUAUGGAUAAAAAACAAUAUCAAGGCAUCUAGACUACUGAUAGACGGUAAGUUCAAAAUUUUCUUUUCGUUCUACAUAGCGUUUUUAAAAACCUUCUAGAUCUAUAACAUAUGUAUAAGUUGACAAAAAAUAAAAUUUACUGGAGUAAUGUGCAGAUUAGGAUAACGAUCGAUUCGCCCCAUAACGACUCGCCCCAUUUUAGUGACGAUUCGUCCCACCCUAAUGGCACCACCUUAAAUUAAACAUUUUUUUAUUCAUUUGAUUUGGAUUGAAAAAUAUUUAUGAUACAAGAUACAAGUUUUAAAAUAUGCACGCAUGUACAUGCAUUGUUUAUGAGGAUAUCUAUGUACAGCCCAUUUUAAAAACAUAAAUCUGCAUUGUUUCACACUGAGCUCAUCUGCACAUUUGAAUGCUAUGAAAAAUGAUGUUCUUUUUUAUUUUAAGUGACUUCAGAAGACUAUUUUUCUUUUACUUAGUUAUCUCACAGAAAACUGAAAAGAGCAGCCAAGAAAGGACAGAACGUAAAAAUCAGCAACUCUGAUGAGAUGGUAAAAAGCAGAUGAACGGGAGAUAAUAAAAUGCAGAUGGACGGCUUCUUUGAUCGUGAAGAGUUUGCUAUUAUAGUUAUGGGACGAGGGCAUUCCAAGGAAAUGACAUAUAUGAGUCUUUGAAGCAGUAUGCCAUUCAUUGCCUCAGUAUAGAGAUUCAACAUUUAAUGAUUAUAGGAAUAAAAAAGGUGUAGCUCCAGACAGACACUGAAAAGGAAGGCAAAGAUGUUUUCAGACUGACAUAAAGCCCUAGUUUCUAAAACUAGAAAUAUAUUCCUAACAGCAAGCACGAAUAUUUCCAGAAUUAUUCCCCUUUACUUGUUUACCUGACAUUACCUGUUUUAUUUACAGGGAUAUUUAUGAAAUGAGCUAUGCACGUACAUUAUGAGUUUUCAAUGUUAUGAUGUGGUGGCAUAGAUUUUUUCACAAAUUUUAAUCUUGUUGUAUGUUCUUGAUUAAUCUAGUCAGCUUUUGUUUGUAAAAAAUAAAAGAAAAAUAAAUAAAAUUUAUCAAGAUA
Molecule: long non-coding RNA, 2357 nt
Organism: Ruditapes philippinarum (Manila clam)
Lineage: Eukaryota; Metazoa; Mollusca; Bivalvia; Venerida; Veneridae
Exons: 2
Source: RefSeq, a predicted model, not a curated record